This 320-nucleotide ribosomal RNA is filed under the name uncultured fungus. RNAcentral's name for it is "SSU rRNA". It matches the Rfam family "Eukaryotic small subunit ribosomal RNA", at positions 1384 to 1704 of the family's 1831-position model. Lineage: Eukaryota; Fungi. The record is from RNAcentral.
CUAGGCACGUUUGUUGGUCGUCACUUCUUAGAGGGACUAUUGACUAUUAGUCAAUGGAAGUUUGAGGCAAUAACAGGUCUGUGAUGCCCUUAGAUGUUCUGGGCCGCACGCGCGCUACACUGAUCAAGUCAACGAGUUUACAACCUUGGCCGGAAGGUCUGGGUAAUCUUUUGAAACUUGAUCGUGCUGGGGAUAGUCCAUUGCAAUUAUUGGACUUCAACGAGGAAUUCCUAGUAAGCGUGAGUCAUCAGCUCGCGUUGAUUACGUCCCUGCCCUUUGUACACACCGCCCGUCGCUACUACCGUUGGGAAUGGCUUAAA